Hemicordylus capensis (graceful crag lizard) is the source of this 4402-nucleotide RNA transcript. RefSeq lists it as uncharacterized. The transcript has 3 exons. NCBI's taxonomy places the organism in Eukaryota, Metazoa, Chordata, Lepidosauria, Squamata, Cordylidae. The record is from RefSeq and is a predicted model, not a curated record.
CCGGUCGUGUUUGGUCGGCUGGAGAAAAUCUUCAUUGGGAGAACAGGAGGCGGUUAGGGUUAACCCUAACUCUAACCCUUUUUGGCUCUCAGUUUUGGUCCGGUGCCCUCUUCAUCAUGGCAGGAGCAGAGGAGGGGAGACCUGGUGGGAGGAAGGCCAUCACCUCCAGCAGCCGCGAUGUGGCCCGGAAGCUGCUGCUGCCUCCCCUGGUGGUGCCUGGGGCCACCCGUUCCCUUGAUGACCCAGCCCCUGUGGCUGGACCACCAACGGAACGGGUGAGGCCUCCAAAAAGAACUAAGAGGCCUCCCCAGGAAGCCCAGAGCACCCAGGGGGAGCCAGCACGGGAGGGCAGCCCACCAGCCCUCCCGCGGAGGAUCAGGGCCACUCGGCGGGAGGCCAAAGCCCCGGGUGAGAGCGUGCCUUCUGGGGAGAAACUCCUUCCCCAGCUGGGGGAGGGGAGUCUCCCCAGAAGGAGGCUGGAGGCGGCGGCGGCGGAGCGGGCAAAAAUACUUCAGCCCAUCCCCAGGAGGAACCUGGUCCUUGGGGAGCCUGGGAAGGACUUCUUCCCACUGGGGAAGGGCCGUCCUUCUGGCUUGUCCGGGGAGAUGGUUCCUCCCCAGACUUCUUUAAAAAACCACCCCCGGAAGAAGGCCCUGACCGCGAUGGGCCGGCCUCUGCUGAAGCCCUUACCAUCAUCCUGGCAUCCGCCAGAGGCUCGGCAGAGGCCCGACCUGUUGCCAGCGCUAUCUAUCCGAGCGCUGAGGCUCCCCAAGGCAGAGCCAGCCCCUUCCUCCUGGGGGACUCCGCCGCUCCCCUCCGGCUCUGUGGCCCGUCCACCGCCACCACGCUCUUGCCCGAAGACACGCCCUGGGGGAGAGAGAUCACCACCUGCUCCUCCCCUGGGGUCGUGUCUUAUGGUGCGAGGCCUCCGCGCACGGCCUGAUCCUCCGGUGCCGGGCAGCAGCGGUGGAAGGGUCCCACCAAACACACCCUGCGCGCUGCUGGAGGGGGCCUUCCACUAGGUCUCUCCAACUCUCCCUGCCAUGGUGAAGGGGCCUGGCCAAAGAAUGAAGCCUCAUCGGCUGGUGGUUGAAGGUAAGUCCUUGAAAAAAUUUCCUAUGGUCUUCUAUCCUUCGUUUGCUAUCAUGCCACACAAACAAAGACUAUUUGGACUUCUCUCCUCUCCUCUCUGUCCUGCAGAUUAAUCUUGCUUUCCUCUUUUCCGGCUUCUUUCUUCUUCUCCCUCUUCACUCCCCAUCUGACACAACUCCCCAACUCUGACACAAUCCCACCACAUAUGUUUAUAAGAGCCUAAUUCCAUACACCCUCUCCAACAGUUGACAUUAGAGAUGUUUUUUAUCUUCGCCAACUUCCUUGGGGCCAUAUGCCAUUAAGAUAAUAUUUUAAUCUGUUGCUCCCAUAUUCUAACAUAACUUGUCCAUUUUAAAGGUUUAUUUAACUUAACCCAAUUGAUUGAGUCUAUACAAUUUCCUGUAUCCUGUUCCCAGGAUGGUUUUAUUCCUAAAAAUGAGAAAGCAUCAAGAUUCAACAAGAUAUUAUAUAAUUUUGAGGUAGCUCCACAGGGGUUAACUAAUAACUCUUCAGACAGCUGCUCAAAUGUGACCAAAGAGUGAGUUGCAGCCAUUUUAAACUCAGGAUAUUAUAACUGAAUUAUUUCUAUAAUUGUCAAUAACCAAAAUUUAUCAUUCACUGAAGUUAAUCAAUCUAUCCUUUUAAUCAAUCGAUCUUUGGAAAAUUUGAGGUCCUUGAGUAGAAAUCCUUUAGAAAUCCAAUUUUCUCCUCAAUGCCACCAAUAUUCUUUUGAACAGGACACAUUUCCGGACAUAUAUGUCUUCAUUUCUAAUAAGGGUGACAUCACUGGAAGCAACUUAUUUUGCGAUUUUUUGGCUUCAAGAACGUGUCCUCCUGUAUCCCAGCACCCACCGCCACCCCCACAGCCCACCAGGAGUGGGAUUGCUGUAACCAAGCAGAAAAGCUGGGGAAACGACGCUCAAUGAAAGCCCGUCUGUUAACAGAAGUGUCUUGAGGCCCCAUUAGCCAAAUCCCUGAAGAGAUCAGUCAGAGGGCCAGCACCAGAGAUGCUUUCCCUCAUGACCGGAUGUCAGUAGCACUCUGGAAGCAGGAGGGUUUCACUCCCCACCCUUAAUGGACCAUGCAGCUGGGAAGCAACAGCAAGAGAGAGAAUUUCAUGACUGUCUCUUUUCUUGCUUUUAGUUCCGUCGCUCCCAUGGAGGAACUGGAACAUUGGCCUGGUCUCUCCCAAGAGACUCUCCAGCAAGAUCUCCAGUGACUCUCUGGCUGAAGACCCGAUUGCUGCUGGAAGGUGGGACAGUCUAUGGGUGGCCCCCGCCCACAAAGCAAUGGGACAGAUCAGACUGUGGAUCUUCCCAAGGCUCUGAGUGUUGUGAUUCUAGCAUUUCGUUCUGAGGGUCAUCAAUGGCAGCGUUGGUGAAGAGAAGUCCUAAGGAACUGUGGCUCACAUCAGGACAAGAAGAAGAGGAGAGACGUAGCACAGCCUCCAGACAAUGGCCGGAUAUUGGAGGAGGAUCAGGAUCAGGCAGGAUCAGGCAGAGUCCUCUCCCUUUCCGCUGAUGGUUCAACCACAGGGCUGGGCCAUCAAGGGCAAGGCUGGAUUCCUGUGACACCUGGCUGGUACUGGCCCCAGGGACCAGGGAAGCAGCAGCAGCAGCAGCUUCCGGACCACCAUGUGGCUGCUGGAGGUGAUGGAUUUCCUUCCACCAGAUCUCCCCUCCUGAAAAGAAAGGAAAUGUCUGGGUCUGGCUCUGCCUUGGGAGGCCCCAGCGUCUGGAUGGUCAGCUGUGGCAAGGGGUCGAGCCUCUGCUGAGCUGAUGGCAGCUGCCAAGAUCAUCGGGGUCAGGGUCUUCUUCCUCGGGAUGGUAUUUGAAGAGGACUGGAGAGGAACCUUCUCCCUGGAAGGAUGGUCCUGCUCCUGUGGGAAGAAGCCCCACCCAGGCUUCCUAACAUGUGAUAGACCUGGAUUAAGUUAGCGGGGCGGGGCGGGGUCAGAGUUCUAAUCUUUGGACCUUGCUAUGCCUGUGGCACCCUUGCUGAACUCUCUUUGCUACUCCGCUUAGCUACUCCGCUUAGGGGCAGUUCCGUGCCCCCUUGAUCCCCUUCCCCAGCCAUGACCCAUUCAAACUUGCCUGGCUUCAAAGCCUUGUAAAUAAAUGGAGAGGACAUUUUCCUAGCUGCCAAGAUGAAGGAGAACUGGUCCAAAUGGCGAUCCAAGUUGAGGUGCUUCCUGGCAACUUGACCAAAUGCUCAUCUCAUUCUGGAAGCUUCAGAGUGAAGCUAAUCUGCUUCACUCAUCAUAACUGAUUGCCACCCGCCAUGAGAUGUGGCCAUCCCAUCAGGGUCAGGGUCGCCUUCCUCUGGAUGGAUGGCUGUUGAAGAAGCCCGGGGAGGAGCCGGCUCCCUGGACAGGCCAGGAGGACGGUCCUGCCCCACUGGGAAGAAGUCCCGCCCAGGCUCCCCGAGGUCCAGGCUCCUCCUGGGGAUGGGCUCUAAUAUCUUGGCGCGAUCCACCGCAGCCUCCAGCCUCCUUCCCAGGCAGGGAAGGGGAGACUCAUGAAGAAGGCAUGAAGAAAGGAAAGGAAAGUUAUUCCGAGUGGUUUCUCAGCUUUAUAUGCUGCCAAAAUUCACAUCUCCAGGAGGUUUACAUGAUAAAAGGAAUCUCUAGGUGGUUUGCAUAGACGCUUUGCAUUCUUACUUGGACAAAAGCAAGCCUCAGAAUUUCAGAACUGCAAAUGUUAAGUAUGUUUACCAUGAAAUAUGGUGGCGGGUGGGGUGUGGGGUGGGGGGAGACACACUGCUUGUGGCUGCCCAGAACUAGCUCUUCUUGGGAAUAGCUGGGCCCUCAAGCAAAGAGGUGGGUUCCGGUGAGGCCUGCUUGGUACUGGCCCCAGGCACCAGGGCAGGCAGCAGCAGCAGCCUCUGGACCACCAUGUGGUUGCUGGAGGUGAUGUGCCAGAUCUUCUCCCAGAUCUCUCUUCCUGCGCUCCUGAUAGGAAAAAUAAGUUGCUUUUAUUGUUCAUACCUGUAUAUGCUGCCAAAAUUCACAUCGCAAGGUGGUUUACUUUUCCUCUUCAAAUUUGUUUGGACAAAAGCAAGUCUGGGAAUGGCAUUCAAAUGCAGGAAAGUAGACAGAGAGAUGGUUUUGUGUUGAAGUGGGGUCUUUUUAUUAAGUUCAUUAAUUUCUAGAUUAAGAACAAAUAAUAUGCAUCCCUUUCUUUCAUUUGUUGUAAUUCUGGUGUAGAACUGUAUUUCCCCCCUCCCCCCACCUUGGCUAAUGCAAUAGAUUUAUGUUUUUGACAGAAGACAAAUUCUUCUAUUUGUAUUUGUGAGAAAAUAAAAAGACAGU